GGAUUGUGGUUCAGUGGUAGAGCGUGUGCUUUGCACAUGUGGGGGGCCCUGGGUUCAAUCCUCAGCACCA
This 70-nucleotide transfer RNA is filed under the name Marmota monax (woodchuck). RNAcentral describes it as "tRNA.Undet". Lineage: Eukaryota; Metazoa; Chordata; Mammalia; Rodentia; Sciuridae. The record is from RNAcentral.